CUGUGGAUCAGUGGCGAACGGGUGAGUAACACGUGAGCAAUCUGCCCCUGACUCUGGGAUAAGCGCUGGAAACGGCGUCUAAUACCGGAUACGAGCUGCGAAGGCAUCUUCAGCAGCUGGAAAGAAUUUCGGUCAGGGAUGAGCUCGCGGCCUAUCAGCUUGUUGGUGAGGUAACGGCUCACCAAGGCGUCGACGGGUAGCCGGCCUGAGAGGGUGACCGGCCACACUGGGACUGAGACACGGCCCAGACUCCUACGGGAGGCAGCAGUGGGGAAUAUUGCACAAUGGGCGAAAGCCUGAUGCAGCAACGCCGCGUGAGGGACGACGGCCUUCGGGUUGUAAACCUCUUUUAGCAGGAAAGAAGCGAAAGUGACGGUACCUGCAGAAAAAGCGCCGGCUAACUACGUGCCAGCAGCCGCGGUAAUACGUAGGGCGCAAGCGUUAUCCGGAAUUAUUGGGCGUAAAGAGCUCGUAGGCGGUCUGUCGCGUCUGCUGUGAAAACCCGAGGCUCAACCUCGGGCCUGCAGUGGGUACGGGCAGACUAGAGUGCGGUAGGGGAGAUUGGAAUUCCUGGUGUAGCGGUGGAAUGCGCAGAUAUC
Molecule: ribosomal RNA, 599 nt
Filed under: Microbacterium schleiferi
Lineage: Bacteria; Bacillati; Actinomycetota; Actinomycetes; Micrococcales; Microbacteriaceae
Description: bacterial SSU rRNA
Rfam family: Bacterial small subunit ribosomal RNA
Source: RNAcentral